CUCCAGACUCCUACGGGAGGCAGCAGUAGGGAAUUUUGCGCAAUGGGGGAAACCCUGACGCAGCAACGCCGCGUGAUUGAUGAAGCCCUUCGGGGUGUAAAGAUCUGUCAGUGGGGACGAAACUUGACGGUACCCACAGAGGAAGCAUCGGCUAACUCCGUGCCAGCAGCCGCGGUAAUACGGGGGAUGCAAGCGUUGUCCGGAAUCAUUGGGCGUAAAGAGUUCGUAGGUGGCACGUUAAGUCUGGUGUUAAAUGCAGGGGCUCAACCUCUGUUCGGCACUGGAUACUGGCGAGCUUGAAUGCGGUAGAGGUAAAGGGAAUUCCUGGUGUAGCGGUGAAAUGCGUAGAUAUCUGGAGGAACAUCAGUGGCGAAGGCGACUAUCUGGCACAUAACUGACGCUGAGGAGCGAAAGCGUGGGUAGCAAACAGGAUUAGAUACCCGUGUA
RNAcentral lists this ribosomal RNA (447 nucleotides) under uncultured bacterium. RNAcentral describes it as "partial 16S ribosomal RNA". It matches the Rfam family "Bacterial small subunit ribosomal RNA", at positions 329 to 792 of the family's 1533-position model. The record is from RNAcentral.